RNAcentral lists this ribosomal RNA (492 nucleotides) under uncultured bacterium. RNAcentral describes it as "partial 16S ribosomal RNA". It matches the Rfam family "Bacterial small subunit ribosomal RNA", at positions 30 to 507 of the family's 1533-position model. The record is from RNAcentral.
AGUGAACGCUGGCGGUAGGCCUAACACAUGCAAGUCGAACGGCAGCACAGUAAGAUCGUGCGCUGACGGGGGGGGGGAGGGGGACGUGAGAGGAAUACAUCGUGAUCUAGUCUUUGGGGGGGGAUAACGUAGGGAAACUUACUAUAAGACCGCAGACGACCUACGGGUGAAAGGAGGGGAGCUUCUGGGCGGGCGGGAAUGGAUGAGCCGAUGUCGGGUUAGCUGGUUGGGGGGGUGAAGGCCCAGCAAGGCGACGAUCGGUGGCCGGUCUGCGAGGAUGGUCAGCCACACUGGAACGGAGACACGGUCCAGAGUCCUGCGAGAGGGACCAGUGGGGAACAGUGGACAAUGGGGGGAAGCAUGGUCCAGCCAUCCCGCGUCGGUGAAGACGGCCUUCGGGUUGUAAAGCCCUUUUGUUGGGAAAGAACCGCUGCCGCUUAAUACCACGCUGUUCUGACGGUACCCAAAGAAUAAGCACCGGCUAACUUCGUG